RNAcentral lists this ribosomal RNA (393 nucleotides) under uncultured bacterium. RNAcentral describes it as "partial 16S ribosomal RNA". It matches the Rfam family "Bacterial small subunit ribosomal RNA", at positions 523 to 918 of the family's 1533-position model. The record is from RNAcentral.
AUACGUAGGAUGCAAGCGUUAUCCGGAUUUAUUGGGUUUAAAGGGUGCGUAGGCGGUUUGCUAAGCGGGCGGUGAAAUGCCGGCGCUCAACGUCGGAAGUGCCUCCCGAACUGGUGGACUUGAAUGACUCUGCCGUGGGAGGAAUGUGUAGUGUAGCGGUGAAAUGCUUAGAGAUUACACAGAACACCGAUUGCGAAGGCAUCUCACGAAGGGUUGAUUGACGCUGAGGCACGAAAGCGUGGGGAUCAAACAGGAUUAGAUACCCUGGUAGUCCACGCAGUAAACGAUGAUGGCUAACCGCUGGGCUUAUCAGUUCAGUGGCCAAGCGAAAGCGAUAAGCCAUCCACCUGGGGAGUACGACCGCAAGGUUGAAACUCAAAUGAAUUGGCGGGG